GACGGGACCGCACAAGCGGUGGAUGAUGUGGUUUAAUUCGAUGCAGCGCGAAAACCUUACCCACCUUUGACAUGGCAGGAAUCCUGAAGAGAUUUGGGAGUGCUCGAAAGAGAACCUGCACACAGGUGCUGCAUGGCUGUCGUCAGCUCGUGUCGUGAGAUGUUGGGUUAAGUCCCGCAACGAGCGCAACCCUUGCCAUUAGUUGCUACGAAAGGGCACUCUAAUGGGACUGCCGGUGACAAACCGGAGGAAGGUGGGGAUGACGUCAAGUCCUCAUGGCCCUUAUAGGUGGGGCUACACACGUCAUACAAUGGCCGGUACAGAGGGUAGCCAACCCGCGAGGGGGAGCCAAUCCCACAAAGCCGGUCGUAGUCCGGAUCGCAGUCUGCAACUCGACUGCGUGAAGUCGGAAUCGCUAGUAAUCGCGGAUCAGCAUGUCCGCGGUCGAAUACGUUCCCGGGCCUU
Molecule: ribosomal RNA, 465 nt
Filed under: uncultured Allobrachymonas sp.
Lineage: Bacteria; Pseudomonadati; Pseudomonadota; Betaproteobacteria; Burkholderiales; Comamonadaceae
Description: bacterial SSU rRNA
Rfam family: Bacterial small subunit ribosomal RNA
Source: RNAcentral